This 414-nucleotide small RNA is filed under the name Arabidopsis thaliana (thale cress). Its description in RNAcentral is "ATSL220260". Lineage: Eukaryota; Viridiplantae; Streptophyta; Magnoliopsida; Brassicales; Brassicaceae. The record is from RNAcentral.
AUAUUUUUUAAACUAAAGUAUUAUUAAAACAAAAAUAACAAAAUAAUGUCUAAUUUUACUGAACGGGGUUAGUGGUAGGACGGGUUUGGUCGAUAGUAUUACGAGACGGUAUACCACAAGUGAAAUCUAUUAGAUAUGUUUAAUUUCAAUGUGCAGGAUUAGAUGGUAUGACGAGUUUUGAUCGAUAAUAAUACGAAACGAUAUACUACGGAUGAAAUCCUAGAUAUAACAACUAAAAUCUAUAUAUACAUUAUCUUAAACACUAAACAAAGCAAACAAUAUUAAUAAAACAAAUAUUUACAUAUACAUUUUAUAUAACAAAUUUUAUUAAAAACCUAGCCCCGCGGUAUACCGCGAGUCAAAAUCUAGUUCUAUAUAUACAGUAGUAGGGCACUAAUCCGAUCUUUAACUCAU